RNAcentral lists this ribosomal RNA (253 nucleotides) under uncultured bacterium. Its description in RNAcentral is "partial 16S ribosomal RNA". It matches the Rfam family "Bacterial small subunit ribosomal RNA", at positions 524 to 776 of the family's 1533-position model. The record is from RNAcentral.
UACGUAGGGUGCGAGCGUUGUCCGGAAUUAUUGGGCGUAAAGGGCUCGUAGGCGGUUUGUCACGUCGGGAGUGAAAACUCAGGGCUUAACCCUGAGCCUGCUUCCGAUACGGGCAGACUAGAGGUAUGCAGGGGAGAAUGGAAUUCCUGGUGUAGCGGUGAAAUGCGCAGAUAUCAGGAGGAACACCAGUGGCGAAGGCGGUUCUCUGGGCAUUACCUGACGCUGAGGAGUGAAAGUGUGGGGAGCGAACAGG